This 468-nucleotide ribosomal RNA is filed under the name Bilophila wadsworthia. RNAcentral's name for it is "bacterial SSU rRNA". It matches the Rfam family "Bacterial small subunit ribosomal RNA", at positions 337 to 796 of the family's 1533-position model. The record is from RNAcentral. Lineage: Bacteria; Pseudomonadati; Thermodesulfobacteriota; Desulfovibrionia; Desulfovibrionales; Desulfovibrionaceae.
UCCUACGGGAGGCAGCAGUGGGGAAUAUUGCGCAAUGGGCGAAAGCCUGACGCAGCGACGCCGCGUGAGGGAUGAAGGUUCUCGGAUCGUAAACCUCUGUCAGGGGGGAAGAAACCCCCUCGUGUGAAUAAUGCGAGGGCUUGACGGUACCCCCAAAGGAAGCACCGGCUAACUCCGUGCCAGCAGCCGCGGUAAUACGGAGGGUGCAAGCGUUAAUCGGAAUCACUGGGCGUAAAGCGCACGUAGGCGGCUUGGUAAGUCAGGGGUGAAAUCCCACAGCCCAACUGUGGAACUGCCUUUGAUACUGCCAGGCUUGAGUACCGGAGAGGGUGGCGGAAUUCCAGGUGUAGGAGUGAAAUCCGUAGAUAUCUGGAGGAACACCGGUGGCGAAGGCGGCCACCUGGACGGUAACUGACGCUGAGGUGCGAAAGCGUGGGUAGCAAACAGGAUUAGAUACCCUGGUAGUCC